CAGCCGCCGCGGUAAUACGGAGGGAGCUAGCGUUGUUCGGAAUCACUGGGCGUAAAGCGCACGUAGGCGGCUAUUCAAGUCAGGGGUGAAAGCCCGGGGCUCAACCCCGGAACUGCCUUUGAAACUAGAUAGCUUGAAUCUUGGAGAGGCGAGUGGAAUUCCGAGUGUAGAGGUGAAAUUCGUAGAUAUUCGGAAGAACACCAGUGGCGAAGGCGACUCGCUGGACAAGUAUUGACGCUGAGGUGCGAAAGCGUGGGGAGCAAACAGGAUUAGAUACCCCAGUAGUCCCUGUCUCUUAUAC
RNAcentral lists this ribosomal RNA (301 nucleotides) under uncultured bacterium. RNAcentral's name for it is "partial 16S ribosomal RNA". It matches the Rfam family "Bacterial small subunit ribosomal RNA", at positions 509 to 807 of the family's 1533-position model. The record is from RNAcentral.